This 293-nucleotide long non-coding RNA is filed under the name Mytilus galloprovincialis (Mediterranean mussel). The record is from RNAcentral. Lineage: Eukaryota; Metazoa; Mollusca; Bivalvia; Mytilida; Mytilidae.
AAAAAAAAUUAUAACAUCAUAUUCUAUAGAAAUUUUAACAGUACAUGUACUUGGUGAUCAAAUAAGUAAUUGUUUAUGAGUUCAUUUAGAAUAAGAAGAUUAUAAAUGAUUCGGACAAGCAUCAGAUGGAAUACAGAGAAAAUGGAGUAUCUAUAUAAAAACAAAGAGUAGAAAGAUACCAAAGGGACAUCCAAACUCAUCAAUCGAAGAUUAAUUAACAACGCCAUGGCUAAAAAGAUAAAGACUAACAAAAAACUAUUGUAAAAAACAACAUAGAAAACUAAAGAAUGAGA